GCUGAGGCUGGAUGGCACUGGGAUCGAGGGGAAUUAGGGUUUGGGUCAAAAUUAGGCUGGGGGGCUGUUAAAUAGGGAAUGGGGGAUAGGUUUAGAGGGUUUUUGCACCGAUUCAAACCGCAGAAUCGCGAUAGCACGGCCCCAGUCGCGGGCUUAGGCUAGGUGGCUUAGUGGCUGUGUAGAGGGGUCCAGCAACGAGAUUUAAAACACCAAAAAAAAUGUCCAAAAAUAAAC
RNAcentral lists this long non-coding RNA (234 nucleotides) under Hordeum vulgare. Its description in RNAcentral is "long non-coding RNA (HVUL_LNC010385)". Lineage: Eukaryota; Viridiplantae; Streptophyta; Magnoliopsida; Poales; Poaceae. The record is from RNAcentral.